UACGAAGGGGGCUAGCGUUGCUCGGAAUCACUGGGCGUAAAGGGUGCGUAGGCGGGAGGGUAAGUGGUGUAUGAAAUAUCCCAGCUUAACUGGGAGGGGUUAUGCCAGACUGCCUUUCUAGAGGACGGUAGAGGGGGGUGGAAUUCCCGGUGUAGUGGUGAAAUGCGUAGAGAUCGGGAGGAACACCUGUGGCGAAGGCGGCCCCCUGGGCCGGCCCUGACACUGAGACGCGAAGGCGUGGGGAGCGAACGGG
This 253-nucleotide ribosomal RNA is filed under the name uncultured bacterium. Its description in RNAcentral is "partial 16S ribosomal RNA". It matches the Rfam family "Bacterial small subunit ribosomal RNA", at positions 524 to 776 of the family's 1533-position model. The record is from RNAcentral.